CGGGACGGGUGAGUAACGCGUGGGAACCUGCCCUAUACAGGGGGAUAACAGUUAGAAAUGACUGCUAAUACCGCAUAAGCGCACGGAGCCGCAUGGCGCUGAGUGAAAAACGAUAGUGGUAUAGGAGGGACCCGCGUCUGAUUAGGUAGUUGGUGAGGUAACGGCCCACCAAGGCGACGAUCAGUAGCCGGACUGAGAGGUUGGCCGGCCACAUUGGGACUGAGAUACGGCCCAGACUCCUACGGGAGGCAGCAG
Molecule: ribosomal RNA, 255 nt
Filed under: uncultured bacterium
Lineage: Bacteria
Description: partial 16S ribosomal RNA
Rfam family: Bacterial small subunit ribosomal RNA
Source: RNAcentral